RNAcentral lists this long non-coding RNA (259 nucleotides) under Setaria italica (foxtail millet). RNAcentral describes it as "long non-coding RNA (SITA_LNC003280)". Lineage: Eukaryota; Viridiplantae; Streptophyta; Magnoliopsida; Poales; Poaceae. The record is from RNAcentral.
UGCCAUCACCCAGAGUGUCAUCUUUGUCAACACCCGCCGCAAGGUGGACUGGCUCACUGACAAGAUGAGGAGCAGGGACCACACUGUUUCUGCCACUCACGGUGACAUGGAUCAGAACACUAGGGACAUCAUCAUGAGGGAGUUCAGGUCUGGUUCAUCCCGUGUGCUCAUCACCACCGACCUGCUUGCCCGUGGUAUCGAUGUUCAGCAGGUGUCCUUGGUCAUCAACUACGAUCUCCCCACCCAGCCUGAGAACUAC